This 571-nucleotide ribosomal RNA is filed under the name Salmonella enterica subsp. enterica. RNAcentral's name for it is "partial 23S ribosomal RNA". It matches the Rfam family "Bacterial large subunit ribosomal RNA", at positions 657 to 1228 of the family's 2925-position model. The record is from RNAcentral. Lineage: Bacteria; Pseudomonadati; Pseudomonadota; Gammaproteobacteria; Enterobacterales; Enterobacteriaceae.
AUAGGGGAGCCGGAGGGAAACCGAGUCUUAAUUGGGCGUUAAGUUGCAGGGUAUAGACCCGAAACCCGGUGAUCUAGCCAUGGGCAGGUUGAAGGUUGGGUAACACUAACUGGAGGACCGAACCGACUAAUGUUGAAAAAUUAGCGGAUGACCUGUGGCUGGGGGUGAAAGGCCAAUCAAACCGGGAGAUAGCUGGUUCUCCCCGAAAGCUAUUUAGGUAGCGCCUCGUGAAUUCAUCUCCGGGGGUAGAGCACUGUUUCGGCUAGGGGGCCAUCCCGGCUUACCAACCCGAUGCAAACUGCGAAUACCGGAGAAUGUUAUCACGGGAGACACACGGCGGGUGCUAACGUCCGUCGUGAAGAGGGAAACAACCCAGACCGCCAGCUAAGGUCCCAAAGUCAUGGUUAAGUGGGAAACGAUGUGGGAAGGCCCAGACAGCCAGGAUGUUGGCUUAGAAGCAGCCAUCAUUUAAAGAAAGCGUAAUAGCUCACUGGUCGAGUCGGCCUGCGCGGAAGAUGUAACGGGGCUAAACCAUGCACCGAAGCUGCGGCAGCGAACGUAUCACUUAAAG